Unclassified non-coding RNA from Heterocephalus glaber (naked mole-rat), 301 nucleotides. It matches the Rfam family "Metazoan signal recognition particle RNA". Rfam says of the family: The signal recognition particle (SRP) is a universally conserved ribonucleoprotein. It is involved in the co-translational targeting of proteins to membranes. The eukaryotic SRP consists of a 300-nucleotide 7S RNA and six proteins: SRPs 72, 68, 54, 19, 14, and 9. Lineage: Eukaryota; Metazoa; Chordata; Mammalia; Rodentia; Bathyergidae. The record is from Ensembl.
GCCAGGCAUGGUGGUGCACACCCAUAGUCCCAGCUACUCGAGAGGCUGAGGUGGGAGGAUUGCUUGAGUCCAGGAGUUCUGAGCUGCAGUGUGCUAUGCCAAUUGGGUAUCUGCACUAAGUUUGCCAUCAAUAUGGUGACCUCCUGGGAGCAGGGUCCAUCAGAUUGCCUAAGGAGAGGUGAACCGGCCUAGGUCAGAAACGGACCAGGUCAAAAGCAGUUAAUCAGGUAAUAUUGAGUUAAGGCCAGGAUCUUACCUGAUAAUGAACACUGAUUUAAGAACAGCAGUGCAGUAUGCUAAU